Molecule: long non-coding RNA, 251 nt
Filed under: Rattus norvegicus (Norway rat)
Lineage: Eukaryota; Metazoa; Chordata; Mammalia; Rodentia; Muridae
Description: long non-coding RNA NONRATT025927
Source: RNAcentral
GAAGGUCCAGGUCAGACUUAGAAUCUUCUCUGCCAGUCUGGUUGGUCUUGUGUCAUGGAUAAGUGGACAACGUCCUAACACAGAAGAAGGGGCAGUGACAUGCAUGUCCUGGCUUUGACUACAAGGGCCCCAGUCUAAGAAGCUGAGCUCCUACCACUGAGAGAAACUGCCUUGGGGAACCCUGCAAAAAGUGGACAGUUUGCUGGAAACAUUCUUCACCCCCAGAAAUAAAUAAGAAGUCAGCUCCUGUU